RNAcentral lists this antisense RNA (69 nucleotides) under Actinokineospora bangkokensis. RNAcentral's name for it is "ASpks TB sRNA". It matches the Rfam family "ASpks TB sRNA". Lineage: Bacteria; Bacillati; Actinomycetota; Actinomycetes; Pseudonocardiales; Pseudonocardiaceae. The record is from Rfam by way of RNAcentral.
CUUCACCGAGCCCAGGUACAGCGGCUCGGCGCGGUCUGCGCCGUAGGUCGCGAGCAGCGCCUGGGCCUC